Molecule: long non-coding RNA, 322 nt
Filed under: Micromonas commoda
Lineage: Eukaryota; Viridiplantae; Chlorophyta; Mamiellophyceae; Mamiellales; Mamiellaceae
Description: long non-coding RNA (MCOM_LNC000371)
Source: RNAcentral
GUCCCGGCGACCACCCCCGCGCCCAAACGCGCCAAGACGACGCACGCCCACCCACCUAAACACGGCACGCCCGGCCUCGCCGACGCCGCGGACAUCCUCCUCGACCUCGCCAGCAACGAAAACUCCCCAGCCGCAUCUGGCGAACACGAGGGCGGCAUGGUACCCGCGUCGCCGCUCGGGUCGCCGAUUCGACGAAGGCGAACCUCCGCUACCGACUCGGACAACGAGGCGCAGCAGCAGCAGCAGCACACGAACCGGCUGUACCAGCCCACGGCGACGCGGGUUCGAUUCCUCGACGAGCCGGAGAGGCCCGACGUCCACG